RNAcentral lists this ribosomal RNA (439 nucleotides) under uncultured bacterium. RNAcentral describes it as "partial 16S ribosomal RNA". It matches the Rfam family "Bacterial small subunit ribosomal RNA", at positions 339 to 795 of the family's 1533-position model. The record is from RNAcentral.
CUACGGGCGGCAGCAGUGAGGAAUAUUGCACAAUGGGGGGAACCCUGAUGCAGCAACGCCGCGUGGAGGAUGACGCAUUUCGGUGUGUAAACUCCUUUUAUAUGUCAAGAAAAUGACGGUAGCAUACGAAUAAGCACCGGCUAACUCCGUGCCAGCAGCCGCGGUAAUACGGAGGGUGCAAGCGUUACUCGGAAUCAAUGGGCGUAAAGGGCGCGUAGGCGGGGUGGAAAGUCAGGUGUGAAAUCCUACAGCUUAACUGUAGAACUGCACUUGAAACUUCUAAUCUAGAGUAUGGGAGGGGGAGAUGGAAUUAGUGGUGUAGGGGUAAAAGCCGUAGAUAUCACUAGGAAUACCUAAAGCGAAGGCGAUCUCCUGGAACAUUACUGACGCUAAGGCGUGAAAGCGUGGGGAGCAAACAGGAUUAGAUACCCCAGUAGUC